CACUGCGGAAACCUUGUGACUCAGAGCAAAAAGAGGAAACUGUGUUGAAGAAUCAGCCAUGUUUACCCCUACGGAAGCACUUUUGUCUGGAGCAACAAGCUUCUCUUCCUGAUUCUUCAUCCGACAUAGAAUCUGCUGAAAUGCUCUUAUAUGCCAUGGAGCCAUGGAGUACACAAAAACCGGCAAUGAGACCUCCCCUUUUG
Arabidopsis thaliana (thale cress) is the source of this 203-nucleotide long non-coding RNA. RefSeq annotates it as other RNA. The record is from RefSeq. The transcript has a single exon. Lineage: Eukaryota; Viridiplantae; Streptophyta; Magnoliopsida; Brassicales; Brassicaceae.